GGGAGGUAGUGACAAUAAAUAACAAUACAGGGCUCUUAUGGGUCUUGUAAUUGGAAUGAGUACAAUUUAAAUCUCUUAACGAGAACCAAUUGGAGGGCAAGUCUGGUGCCAGCAGCCGCGGUAAUUCCAGCUCCAAUAGCGUAUAUUAAAGCUGUUGCAGUUAAAAAGCUCGUAGUUGAAUUUCGGGAUUAGUAGGUUGGUCGUGCCUAUGGUAUGUACUGGCUUUACUGAUUCCUCCUUCUUGAAGAACUGUAAUGUCAUUAAUUUGGUGUUGCAGGGAAACAGGACUGUUACUUUGAAAAAUUAGAGUGUUUAAAGCAGGCCAACGCCUGAAUACAUUAGCAUGGAAUAAUGAAAUAGGACGUUCGAACCUAUUUUGCUGGUUUCUAGGAUUGACGUAAUGAUUAAUAGGGAUAGUUGGG
Molecule: ribosomal RNA, 422 nt
Filed under: uncultured Glomeraceae
Lineage: Eukaryota; Fungi; Glomeromycota; Glomeromycetes; Glomerales; Glomeraceae
Description: SSU rRNA
Rfam family: Eukaryotic small subunit ribosomal RNA
Source: RNAcentral